Felis catus (domestic cat) is the source of this 1072-nucleotide long non-coding RNA. RefSeq lists it as uncharacterized. Lineage: Eukaryota; Metazoa; Chordata; Mammalia; Carnivora; Felidae. The record is from RefSeq and is a predicted model, not a curated record. The transcript is spliced from 2 exons.
UAGCCAGGGGACUGGGAUGCCCCUAGGAGGAACCUGUCCUGUCCCAGACCUGGCAGUGCCCCAGUGCCCUUGCUCUGAGAGCUCUGUGCCAGGUUCCCUGGUCAGGAGGGGUACAAAAAGCCAAAGUGUCUGAGUAUCAGAGCAGAGCAUGAUAGGCAUGUCCAGCACUGCCCUCAUCCUGAUUCAGUGGGGUCUGUAGCCUCUGUGAUAUGAUGUGAUGUCAUGUCUUAAGAGGCACUUGAAGCCUGGCCCUGGGAGGGGUGUGUGGGAUUGAGGGGGGAGGUGGGCAGGAUGGCUACCGAUAGGCUCCCUGGGGAGCAGACUACCCUGGGGAACCAGUCUCAGCUCAGGCCACACAUGGCCCCAGCCUGCUAUAUGGUGUGCCGGCCUUAGCUUUGGUGGAAGCGGGUGGGGGUGGGGGGUUGCUCAGCUAUAUGCAGGCUCAGCCCACUUGCUUGUCCAGGGGGAGGUCAUGGCAAUUUCUCAUGAGAGGAAAAUGAAAUGGCAGGAUGGUACCGUGUUCCCCAUGGGCCUGUGCUGAUUCCCAUACCACCUUCCCUGUCACUCAAACCAGGGUCUAAACUCCAAUGCUUGUACUCUCCAACAGAGCACCAGCCCCACAGCUCCAGGCGCUGAGGCACCCAAAACAGGCACAGGUAAUGGCAAAUAUCAUCAAGACUAUGUCUUGUCCUUGAGCUGAGGGGCUGUCUCACUUUACAGAUGAGGAAGUCAAGACUGGAUCAGAUCAUCCAAACUGAGAAUGGGCAGGACCAGGGGCCACAUCUGGCCAGAGGGAGAGAGACAAUGCGAGCAGGGGAAGGGCAGAGAGAGAGGGAGAUAAAGAAUCUGAAUCAGGCUCCAGGCUCUGAGCUCCGGGCUCUGAGCACAGAGCCCGAUGUGGUGCUCCAACCCACAAACCGCGAGAUCAAAACCUGAGUGCAAGUCGGUCAACCAAAUGACUGAGCCACCCAGGCAACCCUGCAGUCUGUUCUUGAUAAGUGGACAAGUUGUUUUUCAGUUCUCGGAUUAUAGAAAUCCCUUAAAACAAUAAUAAUCUGUGUCUUAAAACCCA